AACGCACGAGACCUGCGGACCUGCGGAAGGAUCAUUACCGAGUUUACAACUCCCAAACCCAUGUGAACAUACCUACUGUUGCUUCGGCGGGAUUGCCCCGGGCGCCUCGUGUGCCCCGGAUCAGGCGCCCGCCUAGGAAACUUAACUCUUGUUUUAUUUUGGAAUCUUCUGAGUAGUUUUUACAAAUAAAUAAAAACUUUUAACAAUGGAUCUCU
This 215-nucleotide unclassified non-coding RNA is filed under the name soil metagenome. RNAcentral describes it as "partial contains 5.8S ribosomal RNA, internal transcribed spacer 2, and large subunit ribosomal RNA". The record is from RNAcentral.